This 114-nucleotide small RNA is filed under the name Mytilus galloprovincialis (Mediterranean mussel). Lineage: Eukaryota; Metazoa; Mollusca; Bivalvia; Mytilida; Mytilidae. The record is from RNAcentral.
CUUGGAUAUGGUGACAUGGCGCCACGGACUGGAUUCGGAUACUUAGUUGGUACUAUAUGUGCUGUUUGCGGACUGCUGAUGUUAACACUUCCGGUACCGAUAAUAGUCAAUAAU